Herpailurus yagouaroundi (jaguarundi) is the source of this 1038-nucleotide long non-coding RNA. RefSeq lists it as uncharacterized. The record is from RefSeq and is a predicted model, not a curated record. NCBI's taxonomy places the organism in Eukaryota, Metazoa, Chordata, Mammalia, Carnivora, Felidae. The transcript is spliced from 4 exons.
UCUUGUGUGACUGUGGGCGGCUCUCUAAGUCCUCACCAUCAGAAGAAAUGUCAUCUUCUCUCUCCGGGUCAUUGUGAGAAAACAAUGAGAACAUGCUUGAGCCUGUUCAGAGCAGGUGCUCAGUAGCAGUGGCUGACAUGAGUAGAGGCUUACUAAACACACCCAAGAGUGAUGAUGAGAGUCACUGCCAGUUCCCUUCAAGGGAAAUGUGUUGGGGUGGGAUAGCCAAGGUCACCGUGAAAAUAGAGAUGCAUGGCGAGUCUCAGCAUACAGCUCAAGUCCCUGGGAGACCACAGGGGAAGAGGAGAAGGGCCUGCACUGAAGGCCAAUGGCUCCAGAUUUCCAGUGGUGAUCCACGUGUUUUCUGUGGUGUGGGAGGAAACUGCAGCCUAGUGGAGGAAAUGGCAAGGGGGUUCACCUCUUCACUGUCUGUUCCAGUACUUCUUACUUCAUUGAUGUUACCAGUGAACAAUGCAGCUGCCACUCACAGCCAUCCCGCUGACAUCACUCAGCUUCCCUGAGGAGAAGAGCUAAGAUUCCUGAGGCUGAUUCCACCAGAGAAAGCAGCAGAAAACAACCAGCAAGCAAUCAACACUCCAAAUAGCACCCAGUUCCACGUAUGCGGCAGACCUUCAGAUACAGAAACCAUUAUUUUGUUUUAUUUUUGUACAUUGAACUAAAUCAGGCUGUUGGAGAUGUGUACCCUUCGUCACUACUGGAGGUCCCUGUUUUUGUCUAGGAACUCCUAUGAGCAACUCAGCCUUGCUGCAGCCGAAGAACCUCCCUCUUCUGAGCUACCUCCACCAUGCACACUGUUUCUUGCCUCCACCAUCCAGGGCAUACCAAGCACGAGCCUCACAGUCAGUGCCCAGUGCACACUGGCCUGAGAAGCUGCAUUUCUCAGAGGUUUGACCCUCUGGGGAUCCUGCAGUCAAGUGGUAUGUGAGUCUCUGCUCUUUCAGAAGCUCCCAAAUUCUUUGGGGAAAUCUAACCCAUCCCCUCCCCUCAAUCACCCACCUCCUUCCCUUCUGCCUCUCU